GUCUGCAACUCGACUCCAUGAAGUCGGAAUCGCUAGUAAUUCCAGAUCAGCAUGCUGGGGUGAAUGCGUUCCCGGGCCUUGUACACACCGCCCGUCACACCACGAAAGUUGGUUUUACCCGAAGCCGAUGAGCUAACAGCAAUGAGGCAAUCGUCUACGGUAGGCCCGAUGAUUGGGGUGAAGUCGUAACAAGGUAUC
RNAcentral lists this ribosomal RNA (198 nucleotides) under uncultured bacterium. Its description in RNAcentral is "partial 16S ribosomal RNA". It matches the Rfam family "Bacterial small subunit ribosomal RNA", at positions 1303 to 1500 of the family's 1533-position model. The record is from RNAcentral.